This 1044-nucleotide long non-coding RNA is filed under the name Oryctolagus cuniculus (rabbit). Its description in RNAcentral is "lncRNA (ENSOCUG00000034197.1)". Lineage: Eukaryota; Metazoa; Chordata; Mammalia; Lagomorpha; Leporidae. The record is from RNAcentral.
AUGCUCGUGUGUGUGUGUGUGUGUGUGUGUGUGUUUCACUUUCUCACCUUUCAAAUAAACUAUAUCACUUUGUGCACCCUAUUGGUGCCAGCACUUAGUGUGUUUGCCCUUGUGAAUGACAAGAGCCCCGGUGUAAAAAAAUUUAAUGCCCCUCCAAUCUACCUCGUUGAAAACGGGCUUGCUAGUGGUUUGUUGUGUCCCAGGGACACGUUACCCAUCCAGAACUGGGCAUCAGGAAGCCCCAGGAGCCAUCGCCGGAGGACCCUGCUGUGGAGGGUGGCUCCAGGGCAUUUGGUGGGCUCCCCUAAGUUAAUGGCGGUGGAAGCCCCCUCCAGCUCCACCCAGAGAUGUAAAUCACCCAUCUGGGAAAACCUCUUGGACCACAGAAAACGCACCCCGAGGCCAUACUGCAGUCACAACUAUGCUUCUUGGAUUGUAGACCUUCUGCCUGCUGCCCCCGGGGAAGCCUAUGUCAACAGUCACCCUAAGAGACUGCUGCAGCACCCCUCAGAUACGGACCCGUGGCAGCCCCUACCCGCCCUCCUUACUCAUCGCUUCCCAGCGGUGUGUGCAGCCAGCCCAGUUCUGCUCCCUCUAUGUGCUCCGGUACAUUCUGUCAGCACCAGGGAUGCUGGCCUGUGGCUCCCUCCCCAGGACACCCGGGGCAGCCUCUCUCCUCCCAGGGUAAGGCAGCCUGCAAGCAUCUUCAUGCAAGGAACCCCAAGCCACCUCAUCAGUUUUCCAGACAAGGUUCCCCCACCCCUGGGGAGCUGGCAGCUGGGACUUGUUUGGCUCAGAAACGUGGCUUCCCGGAACAAGAGACAACAUGGCGCUGGGCCAGGCCGGCUGCCUCCAUCUUGUUGGGGAGUUCUUCCGGGCUCCGCAAUCUGGGAUGGAUGGGCCGCGCUGCCCUGGAACCUGCCACACAUUUUCCACCCUGCACUUGCCAGAGAGCACGGAGCACGUGGGAGCCUCGCACCCGGGGUCGUGCAUCUAUCCUAUCGGAGCCGUCUAGGGGAGCAUAAGGAAUUCACGAGGCGCUAG